This is a long non-coding RNA of Zalophus californianus (California sea lion), 435 nucleotides long. RefSeq lists it as uncharacterized. The transcript has 3 exons. Lineage: Eukaryota; Metazoa; Chordata; Mammalia; Carnivora; Otariidae. The record is from RefSeq and is a predicted model, not a curated record.
UUGAGCCAACCUGUUCAUUUCCACUGAAGCCGACAGAUGAGAACAGAUGCUCGAUGCCAUAGAGUGGAUCAGCAGAAGAGCCAGGAGGAGAUUUUCCCAGAGGCACAGUUGGACACACUGUGACUGGGUAAGAUGCUGACCUGGCAGCGUGGAGUCCUGCCUGUGUGUGCUGCUGUGUUGCACACAGCUCAGAUGAAGAGUGAAGAGCCUGUUCUGUGGGCCCUAGUGUGUGUCAAGGCCUGGGCUUUAUGGAUCAAGGUGCUCAGGUGAAUAAACUGAAGCUCGGGGAGCUUACUGGUCCCAGCUCACACAAGGAAUGGGACUCAACCCUACCUCUGCCUGAGUCUGGAGUCUCUACUCAAGAUUACUAGUACUGUGGCCCUUUCUCUUGCUUUAAAGAUAAUUUGAUCCUCAAAAUUGCCAUGUACUAUAUGU